This 492-nucleotide ribosomal RNA is filed under the name uncultured bacterium. RNAcentral's name for it is "partial 16S ribosomal RNA". It matches the Rfam family "Bacterial small subunit ribosomal RNA", at positions 29 to 507 of the family's 1533-position model. The record is from RNAcentral.
AGUGAACGCUGGCGGUAGGCCUAACACAUGCAAGUCGAACGGCAGCACAGUAAGAGCUUGCUCUUACGGGUGGCGAGUGGCGGACGGGUGAGGAAUACAUCGGAAUCUACUUUUUCGUGGGGGAUAACGUAGGGAAACUUACGCUAAUACCGCAUACGACCUACGGGUGAAAGCAGUGGAUCUUCGGACCUUGCGCGAUUGAAUGAGCCGAUGUCGGAUUAGCUAGUUGGCGGGGUAAAGGCCCACCAAGGCGACGAUCCGUAGCUGGACUGAGAGGAUGAUCAGCCACACUGGAACUGAGACACGGUCCAGACUCCUACGGGAGGCAGCAGUGGGGAAUAUUAGACAAUGGGCGCAAGCCUGAUCCAGCCAUACCGCGUGGGUGGAGAAGGCCUUCGGGUUGUAAAGCCCUUUUGUUGGGAAAGAAAAGCAGCAGGUUAAUACCCCGCUGUUCUGACGGUACCCAAAGAAUAAGCACCGGCUAACUUCGUG